Molecule: ribosomal RNA, 440 nt
Filed under: uncultured bacterium
Lineage: Bacteria
Description: bacterial SSU rRNA
Rfam family: Bacterial small subunit ribosomal RNA
Source: RNAcentral
CCUACGGGGCGCAGCAGGGGGGAAUAUUGGACAACGGGCGAGAGCCUGAUCCAGCAAUGCCGCGUGUGUGAAGAAGGUCUUCGGAUUGUAAAGCACUUUCGACGGGGACGAUGAUGACGGUACCCGUAGGAGUAGCCCCGGCUAACUUCGUGCCAGCAGCCACGGUAAUACGAAGGGGGCUAGCGUUGCUCGGAAUGACUGGGCGUAAAGGGCGCGUAGGCGGUUUAUGCAGUCAGAUGUGAAAUCCCCGGGCUUAACCUGGGAACUGCAUUUGAGACGCAUAGACUAGAGGUCGAGAGAGGGUUGUGGAAUUCCCAGUGUAGAGGUAAAAUUCGUAGAUAUUGGGAAGAACACCGGUGGCGAAGGCGGCAACCUGGCUCGAUACUGACGCUGAGGCGCGAAAGCGUGGGGAGCAAACAGGAUUAGAUACCCUUGUAGUC